AACGGUCUAUACCUGCGGUACCUGCGGAAGGAUCAUUAACGAAUAACUAUGGUGUUGGUUGUAGCUGGCUCCUCGGAGCAAUGUGCACGCCCGCCAUUUUUAUCUUUCCACCUGUGCACCGACUGUAGGUCUGGAUACCUCUCGCCUCCGGGCGGAUGCGAGGGUUGCUCGUAAGGGCUUCCCUUGAACUUCCAGGCUCUACGUCUUUUUACACACCCCAAUAGUAUGAUGCAGAAUGUA
RNAcentral lists this unclassified non-coding RNA (240 nucleotides) under soil metagenome. RNAcentral describes it as "partial contains 5.8S ribosomal RNA, internal transcribed spacer 2, and large subunit ribosomal RNA". The record is from RNAcentral.